This 310-nucleotide ribosomal RNA is filed under the name uncultured bacterium. Its description in RNAcentral is "bacterial SSU rRNA". It matches the Rfam family "Bacterial small subunit ribosomal RNA", at positions 29 to 334 of the family's 1533-position model. The record is from RNAcentral.
AACGAACGCUGGUGGUAUGCCUAAUACAUGCAAGUCGAACGAGAAAGCUCUUCGGAGUGAGUACAGUGGCGCACGGGUGAGUAACGCGUAGGUGAUCUGCCUUUUAGUGGGGGACAACAUCGGGAAACCGGUGCUAAUACCGCAUGUGAUAGAUGACAUUGAAAAAAUUUAUCAAAGAGGGCUUCGGCUCUCGCUAGAAGAGGAGCCUGCGUGACAUUAGUUUGAUGGUGGGGUAAUGGCCUACCAUGGCGAUGAUGUCUAGCUGGUCUGAGAGGAUGAUCAGUCACACUGGAACUGAGACACGGUCCAG